This 107-nucleotide non-coding RNA is filed under the name Bacillus sp. (in: firmicutes). RNAcentral describes it as "Bacillus sp. TPP sequence". It matches the Rfam family "TPP riboswitch aptamer (THI element)". Rfam says of the family: Vitamin B(1) in its active form thiamin pyrophosphate (TPP) is an essential coenzyme that is synthesised by coupling of pyrimidine and thiazole moieties in bacteria. The previously detected thiamin-regulatory element, thi box was extended, resulting in a new, highly conserved RNA secondary structure, the THI element, which is widely distributed in eubacteria and also occurs in some archaea. Analysis of operon structures identified a large number of new candidate thiamin-regulated genes, mostly transporters, in various prokaryotic organisms. The record is from RNAcentral. RNAcentral also lists the same sequence under 1 other name. Lineage: Bacteria; Bacillati; Bacillota; Bacilli; Caryophanales; Bacillaceae.
AAGAAACACUAGGGGUGUCUUGUAAAAGACUGAGAUUGAACGGCCGUUCUAAACCCUUUGAACCUGAUCUAGUUCACACUGGCGUAGGGAAGUGGUAAAUGGUUGAA